CCUACGGGGGGCAGCAGUGGGGAAUAUUGGACAAUGGGGGCAACCCUGAUCCAGCCAUGCCGCGUGUGUGAAGAAGGCCCUCGGGUUGUAAAGCACUUUCAGUGAGGAAGAACGCCUGGUGGUUAAUACCCAUCAGGAAAGACAUCACUCACAGAAGAAGCACCGGCUAACUCCGUGCCAGCAGCCGCGGUAAUACGGAGGGUGCGAGCGUUAAUCGGAAUUGCUGGGCGUAAAGCGCGCGUAGGUGGCUUGAUAAGCCGGUUGUGAAAGCCCCGGGCUCAACCUGGGAACGGCAUCCGGAACUGUCAAGCUAGAGUGCAGGAGAGGAAGGUAGAAUUCCCGGUGUAGCGGUGAAAUGCGUAGAGAUCGGGAGGAAUACCAGUGGCGAAGGCGGCCUUCUGGACUGACACUGACACUGAGGUGCGAAAGCGUGGGUAGCAAACAGGAUUAGAUACCCUAGUAGUC
Molecule: ribosomal RNA, 465 nt
Filed under: Vreelandella stevensii
Lineage: Bacteria; Pseudomonadati; Pseudomonadota; Gammaproteobacteria; Oceanospirillales; Halomonadaceae
Description: partial 16S ribosomal RNA
Rfam family: Bacterial small subunit ribosomal RNA
Source: RNAcentral